Molecule: regulatory RNA element, 118 nt
Organism: Clostridium cavendishii DSM 21758
Lineage: Bacteria; Bacillati; Bacillota; Clostridia; Eubacteriales; Clostridiaceae
Rfam family: Ribosomal protein L20 leader
About the family: This family is a putative r-protein leader autoregulatory structure found in B. subtilis and other low-GC Gram-positive bacteria. It is located in the 5' untranslated regions of mRNAs encoding initiation factor 3 followed by ribosomal proteins L35 and L20 (infC-rpmI-rplT).
Source: Rfam
UUUGUCAAGUAGAAACAGCCGUUUCUCACCUUACAGCAUUGCUAGUAUGGUCAUGUAUGAUUAUUACAAAAAGAUUUGUGGUAAUAGAGGACGGCGAAAGCCGUCCUUUUAUUAUUUA